This 589-nucleotide ribosomal RNA is filed under the name uncultured Leotiomycetes. Its description in RNAcentral is "eukaryotic LSU rRNA". The stretch from base 229 to 382 matches the Rfam family "5.8S ribosomal RNA". The record is from RNAcentral. Lineage: Eukaryota; Fungi; Ascomycota; Leotiomycetes.
CUUGGUCAUUUAGAGGAAGUAAAAGUCGUAACAAGGUUUCCGUAGGUGAACCUGCGGAAGGAUCAUUACAGAGUUCAUGCCCUCACGGGUAGAUCUCCCACCCUUGAAUACUAUGCCUUUGUUGCUUUGGUGGGCCACGUCCGCGUGUCGGCUCCGGCUGGCUGCGCCCGCCAGAGGACCCAAACUCGUUAGUUUUUAGUAAUGUCCGAGUAUUUAUCUAAUAGUUAAAACUUUCAACAACGGAUCUCUUGGUUCUGGCAUCGAUGAAGAACGCAGCGAAAUGCGAUAAGUAAUGUGAAUUGCAGAAUUCAGUGAAUCAUCGAAUCUUUGAACGCACAUUGCGCCCCUUGGUAUUCCGAGGGGCAUGCCUGUUCGAGCGUCAUUAUGACCACUCAAGCCCCCGGCUUGGUGUUGGGGCCCGCGGUUCUGCGGCCCUUAAAACCAGUGGCGGUGCCAUUGGGCUCUAAGCGUAGUAAUACUCUUCGCUAUAGAGUCUCGGUAGGCGCUUGCCAGCAACCCCCCAUCUCACGGUUGACCUCGGAUCAGGUAGGGAUACCCGCUGAACUUAAGCAUAUCAAUAAGCGGAGGA